UACGGAGGGGGCUAGCGUUGUUCGGAAUUACUGGGCGUAAAGCGCACGUAGGCGGAUUGGUAAGUCAGGGGUGAAAUCCCGGGGCUCAACCCCGGAAUUGCACUUGAAACUGACAGGCUUGAGGCCGGGAGAGGAGAGCGGAAUUCCGAGUGUAGAGGUGAAAUUCGUAGAUAUUGGGAGGAACACCAGUGGCGAAGGCGGCUAUCUGGCCCGGUAUUGACGCUGAGGCGCGAAAGCGUGGGGAGCAAACAGG
RNAcentral lists this ribosomal RNA (253 nucleotides) under uncultured bacterium. RNAcentral's name for it is "partial 16S ribosomal RNA". It matches the Rfam family "Bacterial small subunit ribosomal RNA", at positions 524 to 776 of the family's 1533-position model. The record is from RNAcentral.